AAAAUCUAUUUGGAAUAGUCCAAGCUUGAUUUUUUCCCGGAAUUCUUUUGACGGUGUGAAACAAUCCAUUGUAUAUUUGAUUGUUUUGUAUCUCGAUGAUUUCCAUUGGUGUUCUUGGUAAAAGUAUGUGAUUAAUCAAAGAGAACCUUGCCUGCUUUUGAAGAAUCUGGGCUUUUAUGGUAAUCUCUUCCCUCUUUUGAAGGUUUUUAGGUCCAAAAUUUCAAUUAAUUUCGAUAGAAAGGGUUAGAUUUCAAUUAAUUUUUACUGAAAGGGUUUUUAGGUGCUGUGCAUUUCUUGUAUUCUAUGCGCUCUUGUAUAUUUUCAAAUUUUGCAUUUGUUGAAAAAUGUUCUGUUCUUCUUAUGUUUCUAUUUCUUUUCCUAUGGUAUUUUAAGUUUUCACCAUUUCAAUUAUUUAUGUAAGUAUGAAACUUUUGGAAAAGAACAUUGCUUCUUUUCAGAUUUGUAGCCCCAAGUUAUUGGGUAUUUGUGUUUUAUAUGAACGAUAUGGCAGUAAAGGUAUCCUUGCUGUUUUCAGAUACUUGUUAUUGUUUGGGGUCAUAUUUUGAAAUGGUUAACCUAUUGUGUGACCUAUUUCGAAGUAGUUUGCUGUUUAAAGAUGUUUGAACUCAUUUACUUGGUAGUUUAGUGACUGAAGGUGAUAUUUGUGAAUGAAAUUAUAUUUGUUACAAGUUCAACAAUGAACGGUUGCUUCAAUCCAUUUUCUCUUAUGUUGAUAUCAUUGUUUUGCUGGAAAUGUUAUAUUAUGGAGAAGUGAUGUUUUAUUGAAAGUGUCCGCUAAUUUUGUCUUGGGAGAAUAGAUGAUGGAAAAAGUGGAAAGUAAUUCUUUGAUGGACUUCGAAAAUGUCAACAUGGAGUACAAUAUGAAUGUAGUUGAAAGUCAAACGGUGGGGGGAGAUGGAGUGAUUGUGCCAGAGGUUGGUAUGAAGUUCAAGAACAAAAAUGAAGUCUUUGAUUUUUACAAGUUAUAUGCUUACAACAUAGGUUUUUCAAUGAGAAAAAGGAAUUCGAGAAAGGAUGACGAUGGAGUUUUGCGAUACGUGACUUUCACAUGUAGAGGUUGAAAAAACGUAACACAAGCGGUUCUUUGAAGCCACAGCCUACAAUUCGAAUGGGUUGUAAAGCCAGGGUCUCUAUGUCUGCAGAUAAUCAUGGUUACUAGAGAAGUAAUAUGGUACACCUCGAUCACAAUCACAAAACAAGUCCAACGAAGUGGAGAUUGUAUUGAUGCAAUUGAUAACUAAGUGCGAUGUGAAAAAGAAGCUUGAAGUGAAUGACAUGGCUGGAAUUCCAUUAUACAAAAAUUUCAAUUCUGUAGUUGUCGAAGUCGAUGGAUAUGAAAAUAUGACAUGCAUUGAAAAAUAUUGUAGAAACUACAUUAAACAAGUUAGGCAAUUAAGCCUUGGAGAAGGAAAUGCAGGAGCAAUAUAGUCCUAUUUUUCAAAUAUGCAAGCACGGUCUGCAGGAUUUUACUUCUGUAUGGAUUUGGACAACAACUCGAGUUUAAGAAUAUAUUUUGGGCAAAUAAUCGAUAUAGGGAAGUAUAUAAGGAGUUUGGGGACGUCGUGACAUUUGAUACCACUUACUUGACUAACAAAUAUGACAUGCCUUUAGCACCUUUUGUUGGCGUCAAACACCAUGGACAAUCAACAUUGUUCGGUAGUGGUUUAGUCUCUAAUGAAAGCACGGAUACAUUUGUGUGGUUUUUUAGGACAUGACUUAAAUGUAUGCACGAUCAAGCUCCACAUGAAAUAAUUAUUGAUCAAGACAUGGCAAUGCAAAUGUCAUUCAGGUAGUUUUCUUAAAUACAAAGUAUAGAUGGUGCUAAUGACACAUUCUGAAGAAGUUGCCUGAAAAAUUUGGGUACCACAUCAAUAAAGGUUCAAUAUUCUUAGUAAUAAAUGGUUAGGUGUAGGAUUGUCAGACGGUUGAAGAAUUUGAACAAGGUCGGGGAUCGAUGAUCUAAACAUUUGAGUUGCAUGAUAACAAAUGGUUGUCGGGGUUAUAUGAGAACAAAGGUCGUUGUGUCCUUUGCUUCUUAAAAACAAAUUUUUGGAUUGGGUCAACCAAGUGAGAGCAUGAACGUAUUUUUCAAUGGGUACCUGCACUCGAAGACAUCGUUGAAACGAAUUGUUGAACAGUAUGAGUGAGCAUUGAGGAACAAGGUGGAGAAGGAGCUCCAUGCUAAUUUCAAGUCGUUCUCUCCAAUGGUUCCGAGUGCAACAACACAUGAAAUGGAAAAGCAAUUUCAAAAAGUCUACACAAUUUCAAAAUUCAAAAAAGUUCUAGCUGAGUUUACGGAUAAGGUUUACCGCAACCUCAUAUCUGCCUCUGAGGGAUGUUUUGGGACGACAUAUGAGGUACGAGAAAACGUCGUUUGCAUCGAUCGACGUGAAAAGAAAACAUUUUGUCUUGUUUCAGAGAGAUAAACGUGAAGUUGUUUGUAGUUACCACUUGUUCGAGUUUCACUAAAUCAUUUGCAGGCAUGUGAUCAUAGUAUUAAUCCGUAACGACGUCACUAUACUACCUACUAAGUAUGUACUUUGUAGGUGAAUGAGGGAUGUCAAUUGAUUGUACACGAGGAUCGCAAUAAAAUAUGAUGAUCUAGUAAGUACUCCAGGAUAGUUGAAGUAUGACAUAUGUGUUAAGCUUUCGCCGAGGUGGUAAACCUUGUGGCACAUGUUGAAGUACGGACCCGUGCGAUAAUGGAAUGGAUACAAGUUUAGUCUAAAGAGUUUUUGAUGAAAAAAUGGAGUACUGGAAACAAAAUUUUGUAGUCAUCAUACAAUUCAUUUAGGAUCGCAGAGUACUGGUUCACAAAAUGCGUACAACAUGAGCGCAUUGGAUCUUAAAGUGGUAAAGAGAAAUGGCACACCUAGAAACUUCGGAGGGAGAGCCCGUUGGAGUCGACUUCGAAGAAGACAAAGGUAUUUUGAUUUGUUUUCCUACAAACUUCAAGUGAAUAUUAAAAUAAAUUAUCGUUUAUUUCAAAUGGACAUACAAGCACCUUCAACAUGCAAAGGGAAGCGACCAACAGCGAGGCAUAGCAGUAUACCAGUGGGUGCACCUCAUGUUGAUGCAGCUUAACGAGAAGAAUCUUCCACAUAUUCACCAUUCACAUAUUCACAACUCUUGGUGGUUGGUAUACUUAUUAUAGCAUUUUCAUUACUUCUUUGUUACUUACUAUAGAGCCACAAGGGAAGUCAUUCGUUCACAAUUCCUUGUCCUUCGUCUAAUUGGAUCCAUCCGUUGUCGACACAUUUUAUAUUCAAUUCCAAAGGUAACAUUAUUGAUAGAAACUUAAAUGCAAUCUACGUUAUAAUGUCCUAUUGACUUCUUAAUUUUCAUGUUAUAUGUUAGGUCACGGUAUUCCAUACUUCUAUCAACAUUUACCGCAUCAAAGAAGCAUGUGAUUGUGAUAGGACAAAGUCAAUGGAGGGACAUAGCUAAACAAAUUUGCGUAUGGUUGAUGAAAUGCUAGUAGUAGAUAUUGUCCAUAAUCUUAUAAGCUUAAAGUGUACCUAUGGAGAGAACAAGAAUGGUGAAAUCUGAUUUAAAUUGUUAACUUGAUAAAUGUAGCGACCAUAACAUUAGCUAUAAUGGCAUAUCAUUCGUAAUUAUAAAACUUUGCUUUGGUUUUUAUCCUAAAUUUGCUAAAAGUUUUUGUGAUUACAUGCCAUUCACCCCACCUCCAUUAUCUGUCUUUUCUCAUUGCGUCCUUGCUUCGCAAAUUAGGCCAUUAGCAGCUCCUAUGCUAAAUGUAUCAGAAUUUGCAACUCCUCGGCUUGUAACGAAUUUCUCAACAAGUGGAGGACUUGCAAAUUCUGAUACAUUAAGCAUAGGAGCUGCUAAUGGCCUAAUUUGCGAAGCAAGGAAGCAAUGAGAAAAAGACGGAUAAUGGAGGUGGGGCGGAUGGGGUAUAAUCACAAAAACUUUCGGCAAAAUAAUGAUAUCAACAUAAGAGAAAAUGGAUUGAAGCAACCAUUCCUUGUUGAACUUGUAACAAAUGUAAUUUCAUUCACAAAUAUCACCUUCAGUCACUAUACUACCAAGUAAAUGAGUUCAAACAUGAUAAAAGAGCAAACUAUUUCGAAAUAGGUCACACAAUAGAUUAACCAUUUUAGAAUAUGACCCCAAACAAUAAAAAGUAUCCGAAAACAACAAUGAUACCUUUAUUGCCAUAUCGUUCAUCUAAAACACAAAUACCCAAUAACUUGGGGCUAUAGAUCUUCAAAAGAAGGCAAUGUUCUUUUCCAAAAGUCCUACACUUACAUAAAGAAUUGAAAUGACGAAAACUUAAAAUACCGCAAAAAAAGAAAUAGAAACAUAAGAAGGACGAAACAUUUUUCACAAAUGCAAAAUUUGAAAAUAUACUAGAGCACAUAGAACACAAGAAAUGCACAGCACCUAAAAACACUUUUAGUACUAAUUAAUUGAAAUCUAAACCUUUCUAUAAAAAUUAAUUGAAAUUUUGGACCUCAAAACCUUCGAAAGAGGCAAGAGAUUACCAAGAUUCUUCAAAAGCAGGUAAGGUCUCUCCGAUUAAUCACAUAAUGCUACCAAGAACAUCAAUGGAAAUUGCUGAGAUACGAAAAAAAAAAAAAAAAAAAAGAUUCUCGAAAAAUGUUUCUUGUACAACAUGGUGUUAUAACAUUGGUUUACAACAUUACGUGUAAGGCUGGGAAGUAGUGAGCGUGGACAGCUAAGAUGAAAAAAAAAAAAAAGGACUUUUCCAAGAAAUCCACUUCAAUAAGGGAGGAAAUCGUUUUAGAGGCAUCAUUUCUAUCGGAAGGGAAAAAAAUAAAAAUAGAAAAAAUGAAAAUAAAAAUAAAACUCAACCGAAGCCCCUAAUUCAUUCUCACCCAUUCAUCUGCGACUUUGAAUUUUUCUCUCGUUUCUCAAUGAUUCUCUGGUAAGAUUUUGUUUCAAAAUCUAUUUGGAAUAGUCCAAGCUUGAUUUUUUCCCGGAAUUCUUUUGACGGUGUGAAACAAUCCAUUGUAUAUUUGAUUGUUUUGUAUCUCGAUGAUUUCCAUUGGUGUUCUUGGUAAAAGUAUGUGAUUAAUCAAAGAGAACCUUGCCUGCUUUUGAAGAAUCUGGGCUUUUAUGGUAAUCUCUUCCCUCUUUUGAAGGUUUUUAGGUCCAAAAUUUCAAUUAAUUUCGAUAGAAAGGGUUAGAUUUCAAUUAAUUUUUACUGAAAGGGUUUUUAGGUGCUGUGCAUUUCUUGUAUUCUAUGCGCUCUUGUAUAUUUUCAAAUUUUGCAUUUGUUGAAAAAUGUUCUGUUCUUCUUAUGUUUCUAUUUCUUUUCCUAUGGUAUUUUAAGUUUUCAC
Molecule: long non-coding RNA, 5345 nt
Filed under: Olea europaea (common olive)
Lineage: Eukaryota; Viridiplantae; Streptophyta; Magnoliopsida; Lamiales; Oleaceae
Description: long non-coding RNA (OEUR_LNC010045)
Source: RNAcentral